GUGGAACCCAAGAGGAAUGGCUUAUCCAGUGGUAUUUCAACUCGAAUUCGUAGCAAGCUAUGAUACCCAAUAAAACCUUCUUGAGAUAAAUCAGCCUCCAAGAAGGUGCCCACCAGAUUUCCAAUAGUUUUUGCAUUUUUCAAGUUGAACUGUGUUGGAGGCAGCCCAUGUGCUUGCAACCAAAAAAAGGGACUGUGUGAAUGCUAAUCCAUCGAAAGCCAAAUUUGGCCAUUCCUGCAAAGUAAUGUGUUGGUUAUGGACAUUCCAAGGACGAUUCCUCAAAACAUUUUGAGCGUUUGCUUCGUGCUCAAAAGUAAAGAUGAAGGUGUUAUUUCUUCUUGCAAUAAUAUGAAAACCUCUUUUGGGGUUCCAUGCCUACAUGAGAGCUGCCUUACCGAUCCCCUGACUGAAGGUUUUGUGUGAGAAGAUUUUACCCACUAAAACCCAUUACUAUUAGGUAGAUGUAGAUUCGUGGCUUUCAGCCAGUUGGAGAACAAUCUCUUGAAAGUGGAGAUUCAUGGCCUUAUUGAUGAUUUCUUUGAAGUUAGGUUCAUAGUCAGACAUGCUGGGACGUUGAAAGAUAGUGAGAUGUAAAAGCAAAGAGGUGUAAAUGCAAGAAGGACGUAAUAGGAUGAAAUUGACGUAAAGGGUUGAGAUCUCUUAAACUAAGAGCAAUAAAGUGCAGAACCCUAGAACCUUGCUUCAUGGUUAAUUAUAUAUUUAUAUCACGUAUAAAUAUUUUCACACUUCAAUAAAA
RNAcentral lists this unclassified non-coding RNA (757 nucleotides) under Hevea brasiliensis (rubber tree). Lineage: Eukaryota; Viridiplantae; Streptophyta; Magnoliopsida; Malpighiales; Euphorbiaceae. The record is from RNAcentral.